UAUUAUUUGGCGCGUAAAUAUAAAAUACCUGAGUAGUAAUAGUUAUAAGCUUGAAACUCAAAGAAUUUGGCGGUGCUUUAGUCCUUUCAGAGGAAUCUGUCCUGUAAUUGAUAGUACACGAUUUUAUCUACUUAAUUUGGUUAAUCAAUUUAUAUACCGCCGUCGUAAGAUUAUCUUGUGGAGAGUAAAAAAAUUCUUUAUUUAUUAUUAUAAUUUAUGUCAGGUCAAGGUGUAGUUUAUGAUUAAGGAGAGAUGGAUUACAAUAAGUAUAUUUAUUAUGGAUAAUUAUUUUAAGUUUUAAUUUGAAGGUGGAUUUGAUUGUAAAUUAAUUGGAAUUAAUUUUUUGAUUUUGGCUCUAAAACGUGCACACAUCGCCCGUCGCUCUCGUUUUAAGAUGAG
RNAcentral lists this ribosomal RNA (399 nucleotides) under Phonarellus minor. RNAcentral describes it as "partial 12S ribosomal RNA". Lineage: Eukaryota; Metazoa; Arthropoda; Insecta; Orthoptera; Gryllidae. The record is from RNAcentral.